CCUACGGGAGGCAGCAGUGAGGAAUAUUGGUCAAUGGACGAGAGUCUGAACCAGCCAAGUAGCGUGAAGGAUGACUGCCCUAUGGGUUGUAAACUUCUUUUAUAAAGGAAUAAAACGAGGCACGUGUGCCUUUUUGCAUGUACUUUAUGAAUAAGGAUCGGCUAACUCCGUGCCAGCAGCCGCGGUAAUACGGAGGAUCCGAGCGUUAUCCGGAUUUAUUGGGUUUAAAGGGAGCGUAGAUGGGUUGUUAAGUCAGUUGUGAAAGUUUGCGGCUCAACCGUAAAAUUGCAAUUGAUACUGGCAGUCUUGAGUACAGUUGAGGUAGGCGGAAUUCGUGGUGUAGCGGUGGAAUGCUUAGAUAUCACGAAGAACCCCGAUUGCGAAGGCAGCUUACUAAACUGUGACUGACAUUGAUGCUCGAAAGUGUGGGUAUCAAACAGGAUUAGAUACCCUUGUAGUC
Molecule: ribosomal RNA, 460 nt
Filed under: uncultured bacterium
Lineage: Bacteria
Description: partial 16S ribosomal RNA
Rfam family: Bacterial small subunit ribosomal RNA
Source: RNAcentral